This 253-nucleotide ribosomal RNA is filed under the name uncultured Acidovorax sp. RNAcentral's name for it is "partial 16S ribosomal RNA". It matches the Rfam family "Bacterial small subunit ribosomal RNA", at positions 524 to 776 of the family's 1533-position model. Lineage: Bacteria; Pseudomonadati; Pseudomonadota; Betaproteobacteria; Burkholderiales; Comamonadaceae. The record is from RNAcentral.
UACGUAGGGUGCAAGCGUUAAUCGGAAUUACUGGGCGUAAAGCGUGCGUAGGCGGUGAUGUAAGACAGAGGUGAAAUCCCCGGGCUCAACCUGGGAACUGCCUUUGUGACUGCAUCGCUGGAGUACGGCAGAGGGGGAUGGAAUUCCGCGUGUAGCAGUGAAAUGCGUAGAUAUGCGGAGGAACACCGAUGGCGAAGGUAAUCCCCUGGGCCUGUACUGACGCUCAUGCACGAAAGCGUGGGGAGCAAACAGG